AGCGAACGCUGGCGGCAGGCCUAACACAUGCAAGUCGAACGAACUCUUCGGAGUUAGUGGCGGACGGGUGAGUAACACGUGGGAACGUGCCUUUUGGUUCGGAAUAACUCAGGGAAACUUGUGCUAAUACCGACUGUGCCCUUCGGGGGAAAGAUUUAUCGCCAUUAGAGCGGCCCGCGUCUGAUUAGCUAGUUGGUGAGGUAACGGCUCACCAAGGCGACGAUCAGUAGCUGGUCUGAGAGGAUGACCAGCCACACUGGGACUGAGACACGGCCCAGACUCCUACGGGAAGCAGCAGUGGGGAAUCUUGCGCAAUGGGCGAAAGCCUGACGCAGCCAUGACGCGUGAAUGAUGAAGGUCUUAGGAUUGUAAAAUUCUUUCACCGGGGACGAUAAUGACGGUACCAGGAGAAGAAGCCCCGGCUAACUUCGUG
RNAcentral lists this ribosomal RNA (433 nucleotides) under uncultured bacterium. Its description in RNAcentral is "partial 16S ribosomal RNA". It matches the Rfam family "Bacterial small subunit ribosomal RNA", at positions 29 to 507 of the family's 1533-position model. The record is from RNAcentral.